RNAcentral lists this ribosomal RNA (407 nucleotides) under uncultured prokaryote. RNAcentral describes it as "bacterial SSU rRNA". It matches the Rfam family "Bacterial small subunit ribosomal RNA", at positions 355 to 776 of the family's 1533-position model. RNAcentral also lists the same sequence under 1 other name. The record is from RNAcentral.
UGGGGAAUAUUGGGCAAUGGGCGAAAGCCUGACCCAGCAACGCCGCGUGAGGGAAGAAGGUUUUCGGAUUGUAAACCUCUGUCCUCAAGGACGAAGAAAGUGACGGUACUUGAGGAGGAAGCCCCGGCUAACUACGUGCCAGCAGCCGCGGUAAUACGUAGGGGGCGAGCGUUGUCCGGAAUGACUGGGCGUAAAGGGCGCGUAGGCGGCCGAUUAAGUCUGGAGUGAAAGUCCUGCUUUCAAGGUGGGAAUUGCUUUGGAAACUGGUUGGCUUGAGUGCGGAAGAGGUAAGUGGAAUUCCCAGUGUAGCGGUGAAAUGCGUAGAGAUUGGGAGGAACACCAGUGGCGAAGGCGACUUACUGGGCCGUAACUGACGCUGAUGCGCGAAAGCGUGGGGAGCGAACAGG